UCUCCUAGUGUGACGCAACGCCAGUGAUUGCUAAUUGAGGCUACAUUUGCUCAAGGUGAUUGUAUAAUUACACCCAAGUUCAGGUUCCUGAUUCAGCACAGUCCUGGCGCACUCGCUGACGGCAUGGAAGGAUAGAGGAGAGGGACCGCAGAACAUGUCACAGACUGAAGAUGCUGCGAGCAUAGCUUUUCACUUGAUUCAGGCUUGAAGUGUUCGCCUGAAUACUCAAAACACCAUCUAUUUUUGGAAAGGGAUUAAUGAAGACAUUUAUUUCAAAAAACAUUUUUUUUUGUUGUUGUUCCCUCUCAUUUGGGACCGAGUUUUCCAUAUCCUCUGACAGCUUGUCAAUGGGAAGGCAUUCAUCCCUGCUUUAUCUGUCUGCUCAAUAUGAAUGCAGUGCGGAGACAGAGGAAACACAUUUAGGGCUGAUUAAUGUAAAAAAUACCCUUUGAUGAGCAGUUCAAUGCAAGAUAACUCCGAAUUUUCAAAUUCAAUAUAUUGGAUCUUCUGACUACCACAUUUUUCAUAUUUGCUGAAGGACUUUUUUCCUACAGUUCUACUUUGGAACAUGCAGCUCAGUGGGAAGAUUGAAGCAGUAGCCCCCUCCUUGGGUCACUGAAAUCCUGGAAAAAAAUAUAGGAGAAACAGAGGAAACACGUGAUGACUCUCGAGGGACUAUCCAUGCUUUCUGCUCACGUUGGCUUGGCCAAAGCCAGUCACAUGGUCAAGCCUGAUGUCAUCAGUGUAAGAAGGUUUGAUCUUCCAGCGGGACAAGGCGCCUCCCUGCAGUUCUUGCUGAUGACCAUCUAGUGCCAACUACUCCAUCGCUCUCCAAGGAGCGCAAAGGGAAGUCGACCAGUACGUUCACGAACCCACCUUGUCCUUACUUCAGCAAAUGGUAAAACUACUCUGACUUUGUCUGAGAACCGAAGCCCCAAAC
This is a long non-coding RNA of Zalophus californianus (California sea lion), 940 nucleotides long. RefSeq lists it as uncharacterized. The transcript has 3 exons. The record is from RefSeq and is a predicted model, not a curated record. Lineage: Eukaryota; Metazoa; Chordata; Mammalia; Carnivora; Otariidae.